RNAcentral lists this long non-coding RNA (242 nucleotides) under Cavia porcellus (domestic guinea pig). RNAcentral describes it as "lncRNA (ENSCPOG00000032716.1)". The record is from RNAcentral. Lineage: Eukaryota; Metazoa; Chordata; Mammalia; Rodentia; Caviidae.
UUGUUUUCCUUCCAUAAGAUAUGAACAAGUCCAUGGUCUGGCAGAUUGGUUAACUGUGGAUGAAAACUCAGGAGUGGUCACCACCAGGGAACGCGGGGACUGUGAGUCCCCUGUGUUGGUGACAGCUUUUACACAGUCAUGGUUCAUGCGAUUGACAACGCCCCCAGCCUGCUUGCCAGCUGGGGCACAGCUCUCAGCGGGAAACUCAGCUCAGCACUGAAGUGGUCACUGGCAAGCACAGG